UUUUAUCACUCAACAAUCACAUUGACAUAAGAACUCACAAAAAAAAAUGACACUGGCCAGUAACGAUACGUUGUCAACAAUAAAAAAAAACAUUUUUUUUGUAACAUGAUUGACGUUUCUGUAUUUUUCUCGUAAAUACAAUUUGCAUGAACAUGAAUAUUAAGUUGAAAGACGCUGAAAUAAAAGUGGAAAUUGUGAGGUUGGACUCUGAAAUGGAACAAUUACGGAAUUCCGCUUCGGUAUUAUACGACAUAUUGACGACGGGUAACGGUGAUACUUUCGAAGGGCAUCAAUGUAUUCAGUGCAAUAAAACUUACAAAUCAGCGAGCACGCUUCGUAUGCACAUUAUGUUCAAACAUCCGGCCAAUCAAUCGCAGGCCUACUGUGAGCUAUGCAAGAAGUAUUAUUCUUCAAGGAUGAGCCUUCAAAAGCACUACCAGUACAUGCACAGAGUCACGUUCUACAUAGACACAUAGAAGAUGCGGAUAGAUGCUUCCUGUGCAGUAAAGUAUUCGCGAAUAAAGAAUAUUUGUGCAAGCAUUUAAUUAAAAAACAUUCAUUGUAAAUCUUUUGUAUACACUAUUUCUUGAACAACAAUUUUGUAAAUGGUCCAUGCUAGGUGCUUUAUUUAGAAAAAAACUGAUCUUCGUAAUCUGAAUUAUUAUGAACAUUAAUUUUUUAUUCAAUUUGUUUGUAAGAGUAAAACAAGUAAUAAAGUACAUUUAAUGCAGCUA
This is an RNA transcript of Bombyx mori (domestic silkworm), 734 nucleotides long. RefSeq lists it as uncharacterized. The record is from RefSeq and is a predicted model, not a curated record. The transcript is spliced from 2 exons. NCBI's taxonomy places the organism in Eukaryota, Metazoa, Arthropoda, Insecta, Lepidoptera, Bombycidae.